Molecule: ribosomal RNA, 253 nt
Filed under: uncultured Myxococcales bacterium
Lineage: Bacteria; Pseudomonadati; Myxococcota; Myxococcia; Myxococcales
Description: partial 16S ribosomal RNA
Rfam family: Bacterial small subunit ribosomal RNA
Source: RNAcentral
GACAGAGGGUGCAAACGUUGUUCGGAAUUACUGGGCGUAAAGCGUGUGUAGGCGGCUAUUCAAGUCGGGUGUGAAAGCCCCGGGCUCAACCCGGGAAGUGCACUCGAUACUGGGUAGCUUGAGUCUUGGAGAGGUUGGUGGAAUUCUCGGUGUAGAGGUGAAAUUCGUAGAUAUCGAGAGGAACAUCGGUGGCGAAGGCGGCCAACUGGACAAAGACUGACGCUGAGACACGAAAGCGUGGGGAGCAAACAGG